CUUCUGCCACCGAAUACAUUAGCAUGGGAUAAUGGAAUAGGACCCUGUCCUCCUAUUUUGCGUGUUGGUUUUCGAGGACCGGGUAAUGAUUAAUAGGGAUAGUUGGGGGCAUUAAUAUUUAAUUGUCAGAGGUGAAAUUCUUGGAUUUAUGAAAGAUUGACUUCUGCGAAAGCAUCUGCCAAGGAUGUUUUCAUUAAUCAAGAACGAAAGUUAGGGGAUCGAAGACGAUCAGAUACCGUCGUAGUCUUAACCAUAAACGAUGCCGACCAGCGAUUAGGAGACGUUGAAUACAAAACACCACCGUCGGUUCGGCCGUCCUUGGCCGUCGUGCGCGGCGACGCGCGCGGCGGCGAGGGCGGUGUCUGCCCGACGGCCCGGUGAAUGACUCCCCUAG
RNAcentral lists this ribosomal RNA (394 nucleotides) under Acanthamoeba genotype T15. RNAcentral describes it as "SSU rRNA". It matches the Rfam family "Eukaryotic small subunit ribosomal RNA", at positions 786 to 1083 of the family's 1831-position model. The record is from RNAcentral. Lineage: Eukaryota; Discosea; Longamoebia; Acanthamoebidae.